AGGCCUUAACACAUGCAAGUCGAACGGAGUUAUAUUGUAGCUUGCUAUGGUAUAACUUAGGUGGCAGACGGGUGAGUAAUGUAUAGGAAUCUACCUAGUAGUACGGAAUAAUUGUUGGGAAACGGCAACUAAUACCGUAUACGCCCUACGGGGGAAAAAUUUAUUGCUAUUAGAUGAGCCUAGUAUUAGAUUAGCUAGUUGGUGGAGUAAUAGCCUACCAAGGCAAUGAUCUAUAGCUGAUCUGAGAGGACGGUCCAG
RNAcentral lists this ribosomal RNA (258 nucleotides) under uncultured bacterium. RNAcentral's name for it is "partial 16S ribosomal RNA". It matches the Rfam family "Bacterial small subunit ribosomal RNA", at positions 47 to 307 of the family's 1533-position model. The record is from RNAcentral.